Salmo salar (Atlantic salmon) is the source of this 309-nucleotide non-coding RNA. NCBI's taxonomy places the organism in Eukaryota, Metazoa, Chordata, Actinopteri, Salmoniformes, Salmonidae. The record is from RefSeq and is a predicted model, not a curated record.
AUGUAUAGGGGACAGGGAUACUGGAGUGAUUGAGGUAGAUAUGUAUAGGGGUGGGGACAGGGAUACAGGAGUGAUGGAGGUAGAUAUGUAUGGGGGAAGGUGAAAGGGAUAAUGGAGUUAUAGAGGUAGAUAUGUAUAGUGGGGAAGGAGACAUGGAUACUGGAGUGAUGGAGGUAGAUAUGUAUAUGAGGAAGGAGACAGGGAUACUGGAGUGAUGGAGGUAUAUAUGUAUAAGGGGAAGGAGACAGGUAUACCGGAGUGAUGGAGGUAGAUAUGUAUAGGGGACAGGGAUACAGGAGUGAUGGAGGU